GCUGCCAUAGCUCAGCCGGUAGAGCGGCGCCAUGGUAAGGCGUAGGUCCCCGGUUCGAAUCCGGGUGGCAGCUCCA
This 76-nucleotide transfer RNA is filed under the name bacterium. Its description in RNAcentral is "tRNA-Thr". It matches the Rfam family "tRNA". Rfam says of the family: Transfer RNA (tRNA) molecules are approximately 80 nucleotides in length. Their secondary structure includes four short double-helical elements and three loops (D, anti-codon, and T loops). The record is from RNAcentral.